Molecule: ribosomal RNA, 552 nt
Filed under: uncultured Acaulospora
Lineage: Eukaryota; Fungi; Glomeromycota; Glomeromycetes; Diversisporales; Acaulosporaceae
Description: SSU rRNA
Rfam family: Eukaryotic small subunit ribosomal RNA
Source: RNAcentral
UUGGAGGGCAAGUCUGGUGCCAGCAGCCGCGGUAAUACCAGCUCCAAUAGCGUAUAUUAAAGUUGUUGCAGUUAAAAAGCUCGUAGUUGAAUUUCGGGAUUUACCCGUUGGUCGGGCUUUAGGGUCUGUACUAGCGUGAUGAAUUCCUACCUUCUGAAUAACCAGCAUGUCAUUAAUUUGAUGCGCCGGGGGAAGCAGGACUGUUACCUUGAAAAAAUUAGAGUGCUUAAAGCAGGCUAUUGCCUGAAUACAUUAGCAUGGAAUAAUGAAAUAGGACGGCAUGGUUCUAUUUUGUUGGUUUCUAGGAUCACCGUAAUGAUUAAUAGGGAUAGUUGGGGGCAUUAGUAUUCAAUUGUCAGAGGUGAAAUUCUUGGAUUUAUUGAAGACUAACUUCUGCGAAAGCAUUUGCCAAGGAUGUUUUCAUUAAUCAAGAACGAAAGUUAGGGGAUCGAAGACGAUCAGAUACCGUCGUAGUCUUAACCAUAAACUAUGCCGACUAGGGAUCGGACGAUGUUAAUUUUUUAAUGACUCGUUCGGCGCCUUACGGGAAAC